Molecule: ribosomal RNA, 465 nt
Filed under: uncultured bacterium
Lineage: Bacteria
Description: partial 16S ribosomal RNA
Rfam family: Bacterial small subunit ribosomal RNA
Source: RNAcentral
CCUACGGGGGGCUGCAGUGGGGAAUAUUGCGCAAUGGGCGAAAGCCUGACGCAGCGACGCCGCGUGAGGGAUGAAGGUCUUCGGAUCGUAAACUUCUGUCAGCAGGGAAGAACGGUCACUGUGCUAAUCAGUAGCGAAUUGACGGUACCUGCAAAGGAAGCACCGGCUAACUCCGUGCCAGCAGCCGCGGUAAUACGGAGGGUGCGAGCGUUAAUCGGAAUUACUGGGCGUAAAGCGCUCGUAGGCGGUAUGUCAAGUCAAGGGUGAAAUCCCCGCGCUCAACGUGGGAACUGCCUUUGAAACUGGCAAACUGGAGUGUGUGAGAGGGUAGUAGAAUUCCAGGUGUAGGAGUGAAAUCCGUAGAUAUCUGGAGGAACAUCAGUGGCGAAGGCGACUAUCUGGCACAUAACUGACGCUGAGGAGCGAAAGCGUGGGUAGCAAACAGGAUUAGAUACCCCUGUAGUC